This 71-nucleotide transfer RNA is filed under the name Hydrogenophaga sp. H7. It matches the Rfam family "tRNA". From Rfam's summary of the family: Transfer RNA (tRNA) molecules are approximately 80 nucleotides in length. Their secondary structure includes four short double-helical elements and three loops (D, anti-codon, and T loops). Further hydrogen bonds mediate the characteristic L-shaped molecular structure. tRNAs have two regions of fundamental functional importance: the anti-codon, which is responsible for specific mRNA codon recognition, and the 3' end, to which the tRNAs corresponding amino acid is attached (by aminoacyl-tRNA synthetases). tRNAs cope with the degeneracy of the genetic code in two manners: having more than one tRNA (with a specific anti-codon) for a particular amino acid; and 'wobble' base-pairing, i.e. permitting non-standard base-pairing at the 3rd anti-codon position. Lineage: Bacteria; Pseudomonadati; Pseudomonadota; Betaproteobacteria; Burkholderiales; Comamonadaceae. The record is from Rfam by way of RNAcentral.
GCGGGAGUAGUUCAAUGGUAGAGCCCCAGCCUUCCAAGCUGAUGACGCGGGUUCGAUUCCCGUCUCCCGCU